Molecule: ribosomal RNA, 433 nt
Filed under: uncultured bacterium
Lineage: Bacteria
Description: partial 16S ribosomal RNA
Rfam family: Bacterial small subunit ribosomal RNA
Source: RNAcentral
GACGAACGCUGGCGGCAUGCCUAACACAUGCAAGUCGAACGAGACCUUCCGGUCUAGUUGCGCUCCGGUGCGUAACGCCGGGGGACCUACACUUGGGUUCGCAAUAACUCCCCUAAAGGGAUCUUCAUACCGGAUAAUGUCUUCGCACCAAGGAUUUUUCGCCUUUGGAUGGGCCCGCGUUGGUUUCGCCGGUUGGUAGGGUAAAAGCAUCCCAUGGACACGAUGCUGAGCUGGUCGGAGAGGAUGAUCAUCCACACUGGGAAUGAGACACGGCCCAGACGCCUACGGGAGGGAGCAGUGGAGAAUAUUGGACAAGGGGGGAAAGCCUGAUCCAGCAAUGCGGCGUGAGAGAUGAAGGCCUUAGGGUUGUAAAGCUCUUUUACACGAGAUGAUAAUGACGGUACCGGGAGAAUAAGCACCGGCUAACUCCGUG